This 449-nucleotide ribosomal RNA is filed under the name uncultured bacterium. Its description in RNAcentral is "bacterial SSU rRNA". It matches the Rfam family "Bacterial small subunit ribosomal RNA", at positions 330 to 793 of the family's 1533-position model. The record is from RNAcentral.
UCCAGACUCCUACGGGAGGCAGCAGUGGGGAAUAUUGGGCAAUGGGCGCAAGCCUGACCCAGCAAUGCCGCGUGAAGGAAGAAGGCUUUCGGGUUGUAAACUUCUUUGACAGGGGAAGAGCAGAAGACGGUACCCUGAAAACAAGCCACGGCUAACUACGUGCCAGCAGCCGCGGUAAUACGUAGGUGGCAAGCGUUGUCCGGAUUUACUGGGUGUAAAGGGCGUGUAGCCGGGAAGGCAAGUCAGAUGUGAAAUCCCAAGGCUCAACCUUGGAACUGCAUUUGAAACUGUUGGUCUUGAGUAUCGGAGAGGCAGGCGGAAUUCCUAGUGUAGCGGUGAAAUGCGUAGAUAUUAGGAGGAACACCAGUGGCGAAGGCGGCCUGCUGGACGACAACUGACGGUGAGGCGCGAAAGCGUGGGGAGCAAACAGGAUUAGAUACCCGUGUAAA